GACGAACGCUGGCGGCGUGCUUAACACAUGCAAGUCGAACGGAAAGGCCCUGCUUUUGUGGGGUGCUCGAGUGGCGAACGGGUGAGUAACACGUGAGUAACCUGCCCUUGACUUUGGGAUAACUUCAGGAAACUGGGGCUAAUACCGGAUAGGAGCUCCUGCUGCAUGGUGGGGGUUGGAAAGUUUCGGCGGUUGGGGAUGGACUCGCGGCUUAUCAGCUUGUUGGUGGGGUAGUGGCUGACCAAGGCUUUGACGGGUAGCCGGCCUGAGAGGGUGACCGGCCACAUUGGGACUGAGAUACGGCCCAGACUCCUCCGGGAGGCAGCAGUGGGGAAUAUUGCACAAUGGGCGGAAGCCUGAUGCAGCAACGCCGCGCGCGGGAUGACGGCCUUCGGGUUGUAAACCGCUUUCGCCUGUGCCGAAGCGUGAGUGACGGUAAUGGGUAAAGAAGCACCGGCUAACUACGUG
Molecule: ribosomal RNA, 468 nt
Filed under: uncultured bacterium
Lineage: Bacteria
Description: partial 16S ribosomal RNA
Rfam family: Bacterial small subunit ribosomal RNA
Source: RNAcentral